AGAGUUUGAUCAUGGCUCAGGACGAACGCUGGCGGCGUGCUUAACACAUGCAAGUCGAGCGGGAAACUUCGGUUUCCAGCGGCGGACGGGUGAGUAACACGUGGGCAACCUGCCUCACAAUGAGGGAUAGCCUUCCGAAAGGAAGAUUAAUACCUCAUAACACAAGAGAAACGCAUGUUUCUUUUGCCAAAGAAUUUCGUUGUGAGAUGGGCCCGCGGCGCAUUAGCUAGUUGGUGAGGUAACGGCUCACCAAGGCUUCGAUGCGUAGCCGACCUGAGAGGGUGAUCGGCCACAUUGGAACUGAGACACGGUCCAGACUCCUACGGGAGGCAGCAGUGGGGAAUAUUGCACAAUGGAGGAAACUCUGAUGCAGCAACGCCGCGUGAGUGAUGAAGGUCUUCGGAUUGUAAAGCUCUGUCUUCUGGGACGAUAAUGACGGUACCAGAGGAGGAAGCCACGGCUAACUACGUGCCAGCCGCCGCGGUAAUUCA
This 491-nucleotide ribosomal RNA is filed under the name uncultured Clostridium sp. RNAcentral's name for it is "bacterial SSU rRNA". It matches the Rfam family "Bacterial small subunit ribosomal RNA", at positions 8 to 527 of the family's 1533-position model. Lineage: Bacteria; Bacillati; Bacillota; Clostridia; Eubacteriales; Clostridiaceae. The record is from RNAcentral.